This 24-nucleotide non-coding RNA is filed under the name Gossypium hirsutum (cotton). Lineage: Eukaryota; Viridiplantae; Streptophyta; Magnoliopsida; Malvales; Malvaceae. The record is from RNAcentral.
AACCUGAGAAAAAUAAAAACGACC